RNAcentral lists this ribosomal RNA (460 nucleotides) under uncultured bacterium. RNAcentral's name for it is "partial 16S ribosomal RNA". It matches the Rfam family "Bacterial small subunit ribosomal RNA", at positions 338 to 795 of the family's 1533-position model. The record is from RNAcentral.
CCUACGGGAGGCAGCAGUGAGGAAUAUUGGUCAAUGGGCGAGAGCCUGAACCAGCCAAGUCGCGUGAAGGAUGAAGGAUCUAUGGUUUGUAAACUUCUUUUAGAUGGGAAUAAAGUGAGGAACGUGUUCCUGUUUGUAGGUACCAUAUGAAUAAGCAUCGGCUAACUCCGUGGCAGCAGCCGCGGUAAUACGGAGGAUGCGAGCGUUAUCCGGAUUUAUAGGGUUUAAAGGGUGCGUAGGUGGUUAAUUAAGUCAGCGGUGAGAGUUUGUGGCUCAACCAUAAAAUUGCCGUUGAAACUGGUUGACUUGAGUAUAUUUGAGGUAGGCGGAAUGCGUGGGGUAGCGGUGAAAUGCAUAGAUAUCACGCAGAACUCCGAUUGCGAAGGCAGCUUACUAAACUAUAACUGACACUGAAGCACGAAAGCGUGGGGAUCAAACAGGAUUAGAUACCCGAGUAGUC